AUUGAACGCUGGCGGCAUGCCUUACACAUGCAAGUCGAACGGCAGCGGGCCUUCGGGUGCCGGCGAGUGGCGAACGGGUGAGUAAUGCAUCGGAACGUGCCAUUGAGUGGGGGAUAACGUAGCGAAAGUUACGCUAAUACCGCAUAUUCUGUGAGCAGGAAAGCAGGGGACCGCAAGGCCUUGCGCUCUUUGAGCGGCCGAUGUCAGAUUAGCUAGUUGGUGAGGUAAAGGCUUACCAAGGCGACGAUCUGUAGCGGGUCUGAGAGGAUGAUCCGCCACACUGGAACUGAGACACGGUCCAGACUCCUACGGGAGGCAGCAGUGGGGAAUUUUGGACAAUGGGCGCAAGCCUGAUCCAGCCAUGCCGCGUGAGUGAAGAAGGCCUUCGGGUUGUAAAGCUCUUUCGGCCGGGAAGAAAUCGCAUGGGUUAAUACCCUGUGUGGAUGACGGUACCGGAAUAAGAAGCACCGGCUAACUACGUG
Molecule: ribosomal RNA, 482 nt
Filed under: uncultured bacterium
Lineage: Bacteria
Description: bacterial SSU rRNA
Rfam family: Bacterial small subunit ribosomal RNA
Source: RNAcentral